UACGGAGGGAGCUAGCGUUGUUCGGAAUUACUGGGCGUAAAGCGCGCGUAGGCGGCUUUGUAAGUUAGAGGUGAAAGCCCGGGGCUCAACUCCGGAACUGCCUUUAAGACUGCAUCGCUUGAAUCCGGGAGAGGUGAGUGGAAUUCCGAGUGUAGAGGUGAAAUUCGUAGAUAUUCGGAAGAACACCAGUGGCGAAGGCGGCUCUCUGGGACGGUAUUGACGCUGAGACGCGAAAGCGUGGGGAGCGAACAGG
Molecule: ribosomal RNA, 253 nt
Filed under: uncultured bacterium
Lineage: Bacteria
Description: partial 16S ribosomal RNA
Rfam family: Bacterial small subunit ribosomal RNA
Source: RNAcentral